RNAcentral lists this small nuclear RNA (274 nucleotides) under Anolis carolinensis (green anole). Its description in RNAcentral is "7SK RNA". It matches the Rfam family "7SK RNA". Rfam says of the family: 7SK was discovered as an abundant small nuclear RNA in the mid-70s but a possible function has only recently been suggested. Two independent studies have found that 7SK RNA binds the CDK9/cyclin T complex (known as elongation factor P-TEFb). The record is from Rfam by way of RNAcentral. Lineage: Eukaryota; Metazoa; Chordata; Lepidosauria; Squamata; Anolidae.
GGAUGUGAGGAUGAUGUAGCUGUAUCCUUAUUCACUUCAUUGAUCACCAGGGCUGAUUUGGCUGGCUAGGCCGGUGUCCCCUUUUCCCCUCAUUACUCUAAUCAUAACCAUCCCAGGCUAUUUCUUUGGGUAAGGAAAUAUGGUAAGUAUGUACUUCCUUAGGAGCCUAAAAACCCCAAGAGGGCAUCAGAAAUAGUGAAUAAAUACCAGUUGCUGUAGGCUACAUUUCAGAAGAAGUAACUGUCAAAACCAGCCUCUAAGUAUUUCUUGCCUU